RNAcentral lists this ribosomal RNA (468 nucleotides) under uncultured bacterium. RNAcentral's name for it is "partial 16S ribosomal RNA". It matches the Rfam family "Bacterial small subunit ribosomal RNA", at positions 28 to 507 of the family's 1533-position model. The record is from RNAcentral.
GACGAACGCUGGCGGCGUGCUUAACACAUGCAAGUCGAACGGAAAGGCCCUGCUUUUGUGGGGUGCUCGAGUGGCGAACGGGUGAGUAACACGUGAGUAACCUGCCCUUGACUUUGGGAUAACUUCAGGAAACUGGGGCUAAUACCGGAUAGGAGCUCCUGCUGCAUGGUGGGGGUUGGAAAGUUUCGGCGGUUGGGGUUGGACUCGCGGCUUAUCAGCUUGUUGGUGGGGUAGUGGCUUACCAAGGCUUUGACGGGUAGCCGGCCUGAGAGGGUGACCGGCCACAUUGGGACUGAGAUACGGCCCAGACUCCUCCGGGAGGCAGCAGUGGGGAAUAUUGCACAAUGGGCGGAAGCCUGAUGCAGCAACGCCGCGUGCGGGAUGACGGCCUUCGGGUUGUAAACCGCUUUCGCCUGUGACGAAGCGUGAGUGACGGUAAUGGGUAAAGAAGCACCGGCUAACUACGUG